AGGGCACCACCAGGAGUGGAGCCUGCGGCUUAAUUUGACUCAACACGGGAAAACUCACCCGGCCCGGACACUGUAAGGAUUGACAGACUGAGAGCUCUUUCUUAAUUCGGUGGGUGGUGGUGCAUGGCCGUUCUUAGUUGGUGGAGCGAUUUGUCUGGUUAAUUCCGAUAACGAACGAGACUCUGGCCUAUUAAAUAGACGGUGUAUCUUGGAGUAUUCCCGCGCUUCCUUAAGGGGACAAGCGGGCGUCUAGCCGCAUGAAAAUAGAACAAUAACAGGUCUGGGGAUGGCCUUUAGAUGGCCGGGGGCUGGCCGCCCGCCUCCCCUGGAAAAAACAACGGUGCGAUUACCCUGUUUCGGAAAAACGGGGAAACCAAGUAAAUUCUUCCUGGCUGGGGAAAGGGAUUGGAAUUUUUCCCUUAAACGGGAAUUCCCGGAAAUGGGGGGCUUAAGGCUCCGGUUGUUUCGCCCCUGCCUUUGUGAAAAAGGGCGGGGUUUUUAGAUUUGGGGGUUUUAGGA
Molecule: ribosomal RNA, 519 nt
Filed under: uncultured eukaryote
Lineage: Eukaryota
Description: bacterial SSU rRNA
Rfam family: Eukaryotic small subunit ribosomal RNA
Source: RNAcentral